RNAcentral lists this transfer RNA (69 nucleotides) under Petroscirtes breviceps (striped poison-fang blenny mimic). Its description in RNAcentral is "tRNA-His". It matches the Rfam family "tRNA". From Rfam's summary of the family: Transfer RNA (tRNA) molecules are approximately 80 nucleotides in length. Their secondary structure includes four short double-helical elements and three loops (D, anti-codon, and T loops). Further hydrogen bonds mediate the characteristic L-shaped molecular structure. tRNAs have two regions of fundamental functional importance: the anti-codon, which is responsible for specific mRNA codon recognition, and the 3' end, to which the tRNAs corresponding amino acid is attached (by aminoacyl-tRNA synthetases). tRNAs cope with the degeneracy of the genetic code in two manners: having more than one tRNA (with a specific anti-codon) for a particular amino acid; and 'wobble' base-pairing, i.e. permitting non-standard base-pairing at the 3rd anti-codon position. Lineage: Eukaryota; Metazoa; Chordata; Actinopteri; Blenniiformes; Blenniidae. The record is from RNAcentral.
GUAGAUGUAAUUUAAAUAAAAUGUUGGGUUGUGACUCCAAAAACAGAGGUUAGAAUCCUCUCAUCCACC